GAUGAAGAACGUAGCGAAAUGCGAUAAGUAAUGUGAAUUGCAGAAUUCAGUGAAUCAUCGAAUCUUUGAACGCACAUUGCGCCCGCUAGUAUUCUGGCGGGCAUGCCUGUUCGAGCGUCAUUUCAACCAUCAAGCUCCUUAGCUUGUGUUGGGGACCUGCGGCUGCCGCAGCCCCCGAAAUGCAGUGGCGGGCUCGUUGUCACACCGAGUGCAGUAAUCAUUCUUCUCUCCGGGCGUGGCGGCGGGUUCCGGCCGUAAAAUCACCAAUUUAUCAAGGUUGACCUCGGAUCAGGUAGGAAUACCCGCUGAACUUAAGCAUAUCAAUAAGCGGAGGA
This 335-nucleotide unclassified non-coding RNA is filed under the name soil metagenome. RNAcentral describes it as "partial contains 5.8S ribosomal RNA, internal transcribed spacer 2, and large subunit ribosomal RNA". The stretch from base 1 to 120 matches the Rfam family "5.8S ribosomal RNA", at positions 35 to 154 of the family's 154-position model. The record is from RNAcentral.